GGGCAGAAAGGCUGGAGGACACAGGGCUGGGUGGAGGCGAUCCUGAUUCACUCUACUGUUUCGACAAAGGAAAGUCGCCCGGAGGGCUUGCAUCUGAAUCCCACAAACGCGCCAUGCUUUAUAUCAAAUUAAUCAAAAAGAUUAACUCGUCUUUGUUGACCCCACACCUGGGAAAUUGUGGUGGGAGCUGGCUUAUUGGAGCAGCGCUGUCCAUUUACAGACGGUUCACAGGCAAGGCUUUGGAGGUUGAAAACUACUUUGGAAGACAGUGGCUGACCUUCCUGCACACAUGAUGGAUGACUGGGGCACCUGCAGAGAGAGGCAUCUACCUAUCUUAUCUAUUGACGUCAAGUGUUCUUGAAGGCACAUUUGUUGGUGGCACAAGAAAUUCAGCAGAAAUGAGCCUUGGUAAAGAAUAAUGUCCCUAAGAACUUGCUCCUCCAAUAACCAUGGCAGAAAGCACCUGGGAAGUUUCUUACAAUGCAGUCCUCAGCUCCUGCCUGCCUAGAAGUCCUGCUCCAGUGCUGCCUAGAGUCCAUGUUUUAACAGAAACAGUGUUAGUUUCCUGGGCACUUUGGGUGGGAAUGAGCUCUGAGCUGGAGAAUGUUCAGGCUCUCUGCAUACAGAUCUACCUAGGGAAUUUUUCAUAGCCCUGGGUCCAGACCACACCCCAGAUGCACGGAUCCAGAAUGCCUGGAGGAGCAGGGAGGCUGGCUGCAGUAUAGUUCCCCAGGAUACCAGGGCCUAGGAACUCUUCUAGGCUUACCUGCCAGGUUUGGCUCCCCCGACCCUACAUCUCCAUCUCCCUGCAUACCUGCUAAUCAUGAUCUUUACCUGGUUUCCGUCUCUGCUGUGCAUCGAGAAGCUUUCACCUGCCUUCUACACUCUGUGUCCUCACCCUCUGCUCUGCAGCUUCCCCUUGCUCUCCUGCUCGUCCUCUGUGGCUUUCAGCAGGGCUGUAUCUCAGUAUCCUGGCCAGUGGCUGGGCUAUCAUCUCCUCCUGUCUGGAUCCUACCCUCCUCAGUGUGCUGUGGACUGCCUUUCAACACAUGCUGGCAGCAGGCAUCUCCAGAGUUGACACUUUACCAUCCCUGUCACUUCUUCCAUCCUUCCUCUGACUUCCUGGGGUCAGGCUUUGGGCCCUGUUAUACUACCAAACUCUUCUGACCCAUCAGUGGGUUGACCGCCGGUGGAAACACUCCUUGUUUUGGGCACUGCACCUCUCUGGUCCCCCUGCCUGGCUGCUGCACCUCCCAGACCCUCUG
This is a long non-coding RNA of Heterocephalus glaber (naked mole-rat), 1265 nucleotides long. Lineage: Eukaryota; Metazoa; Chordata; Mammalia; Rodentia; Bathyergidae. The record is from Ensembl.